This 466-nucleotide ribosomal RNA is filed under the name uncultured bacterium. RNAcentral's name for it is "partial 16S ribosomal RNA". It matches the Rfam family "Bacterial small subunit ribosomal RNA", at positions 28 to 507 of the family's 1533-position model. The record is from RNAcentral.
GAUGAACGCUGGCGGCGUGCUUAACACAUGCAAGUCGAACGAUGAAGCCCAGCUUGCUGGGUGGAUUAGUGGCGAACGGGUGAGUAACACGUGAGUAACCUGCCCUUAACUCUGGGAUAAGCCUGGGAAACUGGGUCUAAUACCGGAUAGGAGCGUCCACCGCAUGGUGGGUGUUGGAAAGAUUUAUCGGUUUUGGAUGGACUCGCGGCCUAUCAGCUUGUUGGUGAGGUAAUGGCUCACCAAGGCGACGACGGGUAGCCGGCCUGAGAGGGUGACCGGCCACACUGGGACUGAGACACGGCCCAGACCCCUACGGGAGGCAGCAGUGGGGAAUAUUGCACAAUGGGCGCAAGCCUGAUGCAGCGACGCCGCGUGAGGGAUGACGGCCUUCGGGUUGUAAACCUCUUUCAGUAGGGAAGAAGCGAAAGUGACGGUACCUGCAGAAGAAGCACCGGCUAACUACGUG